AAAAAAGAGAGCUGUGCCUCGGCUUGGACGUCAGAGGGAAUCCUGUCUCUGAUUGGCCAAGGGAUGAAGGCUGAAUUUAAAGAGACAGGCUAGCAAAGGCAACCUGGUUCGGAAGGUGAACGGGUGGGCUCGGGCUUGCUCCCGGCACCGAGAAUUGAACAUUACUUCAAGGACCUUGGAUGUCACAGGAAUAGUAGCAGAUCGAUUUACUGCUUGCGGCCUCUCUUGAGCUUUCUGAAAGCACUGGCAUGAGGAAGAUGAUUGGUGAUUGCACAGGACUGGUUUCCCCUUGGUGGUUGGCACCCUGAGUCUCGCAUAUCGUACAGAAGUCAGUCCCACUUAUUUCAACACAACUGCUUUGUAUGCCAGUCUAAUUGCGCCAAUAUCAUGUGCUUCUGUUUUUCUCUGUGCUAAGAGUAAUGUUUUAAAUGUUAAGACUUGUGCGCUCCAGGCCAACCUCAAAAUUCAGAGAUCUUAUUAGGCAAGGGCAGUGAUGGAGGUGAUUUUAUAAGCUGGGAUGACCAAAGUUAACUCUUUGCUUCUAGAGGUCACUGAACUAUGGCUCCC
RNAcentral lists this long non-coding RNA (567 nucleotides) under Salvator merianae (Argentine black and white tegu). RNAcentral's name for it is "lncRNA (ENSSMRG00000002407.1)". The record is from RNAcentral. Lineage: Eukaryota; Metazoa; Chordata; Lepidosauria; Squamata; Teiidae.